AUUGAACGCUGGCGGCAUGCCUUACACAUGCAAGUCGAACGGCAGCACGGGAGCAAUCCUGGUGGCGAGUGGCGAACGGGUGAGUAAUAUAUCGGAACGUGCCCAGUCGUGGGGGAUAACGUAGCGAAAGCUACGCUAAUACCGCAUACGAUCUACGGAUGAAAGCGGGGGAUCGCAAGACCUCGCGCGAUUGGAGCGGCCGAUAUCAGAUUAGGUAGUUGGUGAGGUAAAGGCUCACCAAGCCGACGAUCUGUAGCUGGUCUGAGAGGACGACCAGCCACACUGGGACUGAGACACGGCCCAGACUCCUACGGGAGGCAGCAGUGGGGAAUUUUGGACAAUGGGCGCAAGCCUGAUCCAGCAAUGCCGCGUGCAGGAUGAAGGCCUUCGGGUUGUAAACUGCUUUUGUACGGAACGAAACGGCGAGCUCUAAUACAGUUUGCUAAUGACGGUACCGUAAGAAUAAGCACCGGCUAACUACGUGCCAGCAGCCGCAGUAA
This 500-nucleotide ribosomal RNA is filed under the name uncultured bacterium. RNAcentral's name for it is "partial 16S ribosomal RNA". It matches the Rfam family "Bacterial small subunit ribosomal RNA", at positions 30 to 523 of the family's 1533-position model. The record is from RNAcentral.